CAGCAGCCGCGGUAAUACGAAGGGGGCUAGCGUUGCUCGGAAUCACUGGGCGUAAAGGGUGCGUAGGCGGGUCUUUAAGUCAGGGGUGAAAUCCUGGAGCUCAACUCCAGAACUGCCUUUGAUACUGAAGAUCUUGAGUUCGGGAGAGGUGAGUGGAACUGCGAGUGUAGAGGUGAAAUUCGUAGAUAUUCGCAAGAACACCAGUGGCGAAGGCGGCUCACUGGCCCGAUACUGACGCUGAGGCACGAAAGCGUGGGGAGCAAACAGGAUUAGAUACCCCGGUAGUCCCUGUCUCUUAUAC
Molecule: ribosomal RNA, 301 nt
Filed under: uncultured bacterium
Lineage: Bacteria
Description: partial 16S ribosomal RNA
Rfam family: Bacterial small subunit ribosomal RNA
Source: RNAcentral